GUCCUGUGCGGUGCAGCGUGCGCCGAGCGCGGCCGGGCCCGGGCAGCCCUGUGAGGCGCAGCGGGCACCGAGUGGGGUCGGGCCCGGGUAGCCCUAUGUGGGACAGCGGCCACCGAGCGCGGCCGGGCCCGGGUAGCCCUAUGUGGGACAGAGGGCACCGAAUGAGGCCGGGCCCGGGGAUCCCUAGGCGGGACAGCAGCCACUGAGCGCGGUCGGGCCCGGGGAUCCCUGUGUAGGACAGAGGGCACCGAGCGCGGCGGGGCCCGGGGAUCCCUAUGCGGGACAGCAGCCACCGAGCGCGUCCAGGCCCGGGCAGCCCUAUGCGGGGCAGCGGGCACCGAGCGUGGCCGGGCCCGGGGAUCUCUCUGCGGGGGAGCGGGCACCGAGUGCGGCCGGAUCCGGGGAUCUCUCUGCGGCACAGCAGCCACCCUGCGCGGGACAGCGGGCAUCGAGCGCGGCUGGGUCCGGAGAUCUCUCUGCGGGACAGCGGGCACCGAGCGCGGCCGGAUCCGGGGAUCUCUCUGCAAGACAGCGGGCACCGAAUGCGGCCGGGCGCGGGGAUCCCUGUGCGGGGCAGCGGGCACCGAACGAGGCCGCACCCAGGCAUCCCUGUGCGGGGCGGCCCCGGGCGCGAUGCUGCCGAAGAGCGGGUGUCCCCGGGGCGCUCGGGAGGGGACAGGCGCUGCGCUCCUGUCCGGCCGUGCCGUGCCAGGCAGGGGCCAGGCGGGAGGCGGAGCGGUGCAAAGCUGCGCUGAAGAAGCGUACGCCGCGGACGGGGCCUCCAGCACCUUUUCCUUCCCACCUGCGGGUUAACGGAAGCACAAGGACUCGCUGAGGGAGGGGAACGGGAGACGAGCGCGACACCGGCCGUAGCCCCCGGCGGUUCUCAAACCCCGUGGAAGGCGCCGAUUCAGCGCGCACCGGAAUGCUGUGGCUUCGGGGAGCGUUAAAACGUCACAUCGGCUCCAGAAAGGAAAUAAAAGUGCUUCUUUAAUAUUAAACUUGUAAUUGUGCCUAUUUUGCCUCAAUGUUUUAUAAAUGUGAGCACAAGCAACUUGCAGCCUUUGUGCAACUCUUCGGGCAGCCACCGCGAAGCUUGGACAAGGAAUGUGUCAGAGGCUGUGCAUGGAUGAAAGUGAUGCUUAGAAGAUGCUUAGAAGUAACAGAGAUGCUUUAUUUUUUAAAGAUGGAACAGAGAGGAGGCACAAUUACCCCACAUUUUGAAGAUCUGAGCUCAAGCACUGACCUGCUGAAGCUUCCCCUGCCUCAGCUCCUCCUCCCCCUGUCUUAAAACAAGGGGCAGAGCUGUUGCCUACCUUGCGGAUAAUUGUGAGGAUAAAUACGUCAGAGGCGAGGGUUGGUUGAUACAAUAAAAAACCACUUAAUAUUGUCAACACAAGGUACCCAAAAACUGGCUUCCAGUUUCCUCAUACUCAGCAGAAGAUAUUGAUGAUUAAUAACAAGAACAGGAUAGGAAAGGAGACCAAAAGGGAUGAGCAAAUUCCAAUAGAAAUAGGCUCACCAGUGCAACAACGGGAAAGAUCUCUUGGGUUUUGGGGGUGUGUGUCACCAACUGUCCCCUGACAAACACAGAUAUGUUGCAGAGAAAAAAAAAA
RNAcentral lists this long non-coding RNA (1616 nucleotides) under Strigops habroptila (Kakapo). RNAcentral describes it as "lncRNA (ENSSHBG00005000157.1)". Lineage: Eukaryota; Metazoa; Chordata; Aves; Psittaciformes; Psittacidae. The record is from RNAcentral.